RNAcentral lists this ribosomal RNA (254 nucleotides) under uncultured bacterium. RNAcentral describes it as "partial 16S ribosomal RNA". It matches the Rfam family "Bacterial small subunit ribosomal RNA", at positions 524 to 776 of the family's 1533-position model. The record is from RNAcentral.
UACGGGGGGAGCAAGCGUUGUUCGGAUUUACUGGGCGUAAAGGGCGCGUAGGCGGCCACCGCAAGUCAAUUGUGAAAUCUCCGGGCUUAACUCGGAACGGUCAAGUGAUACUGUCGGACUAGAGUACAGAAGGGGCAACUGGAAUUCUCGGUGUAGCGGUGAAAUGCGUAGAUAUCGAGAGGAACACCUGCGGCGAAGGCGGGUUGCUGGGCUGAUACUGACGCUGAGGCGCGAAAGCCAGGGGAGCAAACGGG